CGACAGUCAUGAUUGCAGUCGUUUUUGACAUGUACGUACGCUUCGGUGACACAAGCGUCCGAACAAGCGCUUUUCAGCGAGAUCGUGGGUUCGUGCUGACACUUAAGACUAGUUUCCAUUUGCGGUCGUUAGUUGUCGCUGGCACGACAAGCGGUAGAUGUGAAAUAGUCUAAUAUCAAUAGUCUUUUUGUGUGUUAUAUGCAAAACAGUCUUAAUGAUUGCAGAGUUUUAUAAAGUUUUGUUG
Molecule: non-coding RNA, 244 nt
Organism: Paramuricea clavata
Lineage: Eukaryota; Metazoa; Cnidaria; Anthozoa; Malacalcyonacea; Plexauridae
Source: the annotation of a GenBank genome assembly